Molecule: ribosomal RNA, 420 nt
Filed under: bacterium
Lineage: Bacteria
Description: partial 16S ribosomal RNA
Rfam family: Bacterial small subunit ribosomal RNA
Source: RNAcentral
UGGGGGAUAUUGCACAAUGGGCGAAAGCCUGAUGCAGCGACGCCGCGUGGGGGAUGAAGGCUUUCGGGUUGUAAACCUCUUUCGCUAUCGAACAAGGCCCGCUUAGGGUGGGUUGAGGGUAGGUGGAGAAGAAGCGCCGGCUAACUACGUGCCAGCAGCCGCGGUAAUACGUAGGGCGCGAGCGUUGUCCGGAAUUAUUGGGCGUAAAGGGCUUGUAGGCGGCUUGUUGCGCCUGCUGUGAAAACGCGGGGCUUAACUUCGCGCGUGCAGUGGGUACGGGCAGGCUUGAGUGUGGUAGGGGUGACUGGAAUUUCAGGUGUAGCGGUGGAAUGCGCAGAUAUCUGGAGGAACACCGAUGGCGAAGGCAGGUCACUGGGCCAUUACUGACGCUGAGGAGCGAAAGCAUGGGUAGCGAACAGG